This 467-nucleotide ribosomal RNA is filed under the name uncultured bacterium. Its description in RNAcentral is "SSU rRNA". It matches the Rfam family "Bacterial small subunit ribosomal RNA", at positions 26 to 521 of the family's 1533-position model. The record is from RNAcentral.
AGGAUAAACGCUGGCGGCGUGCCUAACACAUGCAAGUCGAACGUGCUUUCGCGCAAGCGAGAGCGAGUGGCGGACGGGUGAGUACCACGUGGGUACCUACCGUGAGGUGAGGAAUACCACCGAGAAAUCGGUGACAAGACCGCAUAUGCUUCGCAAGAAGCAAAGUUUCGCGCAAGCGAGACGCCACACGAUGGGCCUGCGCCUGAUUAGCUGGUUGGUGAGGUAAUGGCUCACCAAGGCUGCGAUCAGUAGCUGGUCUGAGAGGAUGAUCAGCCACACUGGGAUUGAGAACGGCCCAGACUCCUACGGGGGGCAGCAGUGAGGAAUUUUCGUCAAUGGGGGCAACCCUGAACGAGCAACGCCGCGUGCAGGACGACACUUUUCGGAGCGUAAACUGCUUUUCUCGGGAAGAGAACGGACGGUACCCGAGGAACAGGCCCGGCUAACUACGUGCCAGCAGCCGCGGU